Vicia villosa (hairy vetch) is the source of this 442-nucleotide long non-coding RNA. RefSeq lists it as uncharacterized. Lineage: Eukaryota; Viridiplantae; Streptophyta; Magnoliopsida; Fabales; Fabaceae. The record is from RefSeq and is a predicted model, not a curated record. The transcript has 3 exons.
GUAUCUAUCCUCGCAAUUCCUUCCAUUAUUCCUACUGUUCUUGUAUUCAAUCUUAAUUUUCCUUUAUCAGGUUGUGGCAUGACGCACAGAAUCAUGUUUAUCUCAUCAAAGAACUCGAUAGAAUCACCGGCCAGGGAAAAUCUGCUAUAUCAGUGGAUGAUACAUUGAAGAUCAUAGCCUGCAGGGAACAACAUAAGAAGCUUGAUGCACUUAAGGUGGAACUUGAUGCUUCUAAACAAGAGGGUUUUGUUUCAAAGGGCUUCAGUGAGAGCAAUGGGACUUACUCUAAGAGAAGGCCUUUGGUAGUCAUAGGUAUACUAACAAAGUUUGGCCGCCGGAAGAAUAGAGAUGCCAUUCGCAAGGAAGAAUAACUGCGAUUUUGAAGAGGAUAAAGACAUAGAAAUGUUGGCAAAACAAAAAUCAAAGAAAAAGAAAACUUAUA